GGAGGAAAGCAGGGGAUCGCAAGACCUCGCGCUAUUAGAGUGGCCGAUGUCCGAUUAGCUAGUUGGUGGGGUAAUGGCCCACCAAGGCAACGAUCGGUAGCUGGUCUGAGAGGAUGAUCAGCCACACUGGGACUGAGACACGGCCCAGACUCCUACGGGAGGCAGCAGUGGGGAAUUUUGGACAAUGGGCGCAAGCCUGAUCCAGCCAUGCCGCGUGAGUGAAGAAGGCCUUCGGGUUGUAAAGCUCUUUCGGCCGGAACGAAAUCGUCCGAGCUAAUACCUCGGAUGGAUGACGGUACUGGAAGAAGAAGCACCGGCUAACUACGUGCCAGCAGCCGCGGUAAUACGUAGGGUGCAGGCGUUAAUCGGAAUUACUGGGCGUAAAGCGUGCGCAGGCGGCUUCCUAAGUCAGAUGUGAAAUCCCCGGGCUUAACCUGGGAACUGCGUUUGAAACUACAAAGCUAG
RNAcentral lists this ribosomal RNA (465 nucleotides) under Nitrosospira sp. YKU5. RNAcentral describes it as "bacterial SSU rRNA". It matches the Rfam family "Bacterial small subunit ribosomal RNA", at positions 198 to 644 of the family's 1533-position model. The record is from RNAcentral. Lineage: Bacteria; Pseudomonadati; Pseudomonadota; Betaproteobacteria; Nitrosomonadales; Nitrosomonadaceae.